AACGAACGCUGGCGGCGCGCUUAACACAUGCAAGUCGAGCGGUCUCGCAAGGGACAGCGGCGAACGGGUGCGUAACACGUGGGUAAUCUGCCCUGGAGUGGGGGAUAACUCGCCGAAAGGCGAGCUAAUACCGCAUGAGCUCACGGCCUCUUUGGGGCUGAGAGAAAGGAGCAAUCCGCUCCAGGAUGAGCCCGCGGCCCAUCAGCUAGUUGGCGGGGUAAAGGCCCACCAAGGCAACGACGGGUAGCUGGUCUGAGAGGACGACCAGCCACACUGGAACUGAGACACGGUCCAGACUCCUACGGGAGGCAGCAGUGGGGGAAUCUUGCGCAAUGGGCGAAAGCCUGACGCAGCGACGCCGUGUGUGCGAUGAAGGUUUUCGGAUCGUAAAGCACUGUCGCCCGGGAAAAAGAAAUGAUGGUACCGGGAGAGGAAGCACCGGCUAACUCUGUGCCAGCAGCCGCGGUAA
RNAcentral lists this ribosomal RNA (469 nucleotides) under uncultured bacterium SJA-5. RNAcentral's name for it is "bacterial SSU rRNA". It matches the Rfam family "Bacterial small subunit ribosomal RNA", at positions 29 to 523 of the family's 1533-position model. Lineage: Bacteria; Deltaproteobacteria. The record is from RNAcentral.